Molecule: long non-coding RNA, 604 nt
Organism: Pygocentrus nattereri (red-bellied piranha)
Lineage: Eukaryota; Metazoa; Chordata; Actinopteri; Characiformes; Serrasalmidae
Exons: 4
Source: RefSeq, a predicted model, not a curated record
UCACAGACAGCCACACCAACACCACACGCCGACGGUCAGCGAUAAAUCUGACUUCUCUAACGAAGGAUGCGGGGACUGUCAGUGCGGGAAACCCGGAGUCUCUCUCACUCUCCCUGCGAGUGAUUCUCUCUCUCUCACCUCUUUGGGUACAAGCUGGUUCUCUUCGCUGGGCACCAUUUCCAUUUGGGCGACAGCUAAGCGGACAUCUACCCGGGCUCCGAUGUCAACAGCAGCUCUUUGCGGCGGUGUGGAGGAACAUUAUUCGCGUUUCAGCCAAACUCCAGACCUCAUCAUGCCAUUUGCCCUGCGCUGAGAGAGAAAGAACAACACAGCUUUCUCGUUUGCCUCCUGUUGGUUCCUUCUUGGCAUGAUCCCAGUUGAAGUUUCGUGGCGUGGCCAAAGUCCCACCCUGGGCGAUGCAGUCCUCGUUGGCUUCAUGAUAGUGCUUGGGCUGUUCGACAGCAAGAUGGGACUGCUUUUCUGGAGCGGGAUGGACGGCCAAGUCCGAGAUGGAGCAGUGUGCAGCCAAGCAGCAAGACAAGAAGGAGGCGAGCAAAAGCCAUGACUGAAGUGAAGAGUGCCCCUGCACAAACAGGGGCUACAU